RNAcentral lists this ribosomal RNA (500 nucleotides) under uncultured bacterium. Its description in RNAcentral is "partial 16S ribosomal RNA". It matches the Rfam family "Bacterial small subunit ribosomal RNA", at positions 29 to 523 of the family's 1533-position model. The record is from RNAcentral.
AAUGAACGCUGGCGGAAUGCUUUACACAUGCAAGUCGAACGGCAGCACGGACUUCGGUCUGGUGGCGAGUGGCGAACGGGUGAGUAAUGUAUCGGAACGUGCCCAGUCGUGGGGGAUAACGUAGUGGAAAUUACGCUAAUACCGCAUACGAUCUAUGGAUGAAAGCGGGGGAUCGCAAGACCUCGCGCGAUUGGAGCGGCCGAUAUCAGAUUAGGUAGUUGGUGGGGUAAAGGCCCACCAAGCCAACGAUCUGUAGCUGGUCUGAGAGGACGACCAGCCACACUGGAACUGAGACACGGUCCAGACUCCUACGGGAGGCAGCAGUGGGGAAUUUUGGACAAUGGGCGAAAGCCUGAUCCAGCCAUUCCGCGUGCAGGAUGAAGGCCCUCGGGUUGUAAACUGCUUUUGUACAGAACGAAACGGUGAGCUCUAAUACAGUUUGCUAAUGACGGUACCGUAAGAAUAAGCACCGGCUAACUACGUGCCAGCCGCCGCAGUAA